Molecule: ribosomal RNA, 432 nt
Filed under: uncultured bacterium
Lineage: Bacteria
Description: bacterial SSU rRNA
Rfam family: Bacterial small subunit ribosomal RNA
Source: RNAcentral
CCUGGUCUCGCGAUGCCCAUACAGUUUAAUUUGAUCAUGGCUCAGAACCAACGGGUGGUAGCGUGCCUAACACAUGCGAGUCGAACGAGAAAGUCCGCAAGUGAUGAGUAAAGUGGCGAACGGGUGAGUAACACGUGACUACCUACCCUCGAGUGGGGGAUAACCCCGGGAAACCGGGGCUAAUACCUGCAUAAUCUCGCAGUGAGCAAAUGCGCAAGCAGCUUGAGUGANGUGGGGUCUGCGGCUGAUUAGCUAUGUUGGUGAUGGUAACGGCUCACCAAGGCGAUGAUCAGUAGCCGGCCUGAGAGUGGCGCACUGUGCCACACUGGAACUGAAACACGGUCCAGACUCCUACUGGGAGAGCAGCAGUGGGUGAAUUUUGCGCAAUGGGUGGAAACCCUGACUGCAGCAACUGCCGCUGUGUGAGGAUGA